AGGAGUUUGAUCCUGGCUCAGAUUGAACGCUGGCGGCAUGCCUAACACAUGCAAGUCGAACGGAAACGAUGGGAGCUUGCUCCCAGGCGUCGAGUGGCGGACGGGUGAGUAAUGCUUAGGAAUCUGCCCAGUAGUGGGGGACAACUCGAGGAAACUCGAGCUAAUACCGCAUACGCCCUACGGGGGAAAGCGGAGGAUCUUUCGGGACUUCGCGCUAUUGGAUGAGCCUAAGUCGGAUUAGCUUGUUGGUGAGGUAAAAGCUCACCAAGGCGACGAUCCGUAGCUGGUCUGAGAGGACGAUCAGCCACACUGGGACUGAGACACGGCCCAGACUCCUACGGGAGGCAGCAGUGGGGAAUAUUGCACAAUGGGCGAAAGCCUGAUGCAGCAAUGCCGCGUGUGUGAAGAAGGCCUGCGGGUUGUAAAGCACUUUCAGUAGAGAAGAAAAGUUUAGGGUUAAUACCCCUGAAUCUUGACGUUACCUACAGAAGAAGCUCCGGCUAACUCCGUGCCAGCAGCCGCGGUAAUACGGAGGGAGCGAGCGUUAAUCGGAAUUACUGGGCGUAAAGCGCGCGUAGGUGGCUCUUUAAGUCGGAUGUGAAAGCCCUGGGCUCAACCUGGGAAUUGCAUUCGAAACUGCAGAGCUAGAGUAUGGUAGAGGGAAGUGGAAUUUCCGGUGUAGCGGUGAAAUGCGUAGAU
RNAcentral lists this ribosomal RNA (699 nucleotides) under uncultured bacterium. Its description in RNAcentral is "bacterial SSU rRNA". It matches the Rfam family "Bacterial small subunit ribosomal RNA", at positions 1 to 695 of the family's 1533-position model. The record is from RNAcentral.